GCUAGCCUAGCACUAGAACUGCCAAGAAUGUCAAAACUACUAAAACUAACAAGGUGGUCAUUUGGACCGUUGGAAAUUAAACUCACAAUUUCACCAGCAGAACAUUUUUUUUUUUUUUCAUUUUUAAGAAAGUCGUUUUUUUAAAAAACAAUUUAGCGGUCAAAAUGAUCUGUCACUACCUUUGUAGUGCUAGUCAAGUCAUCCUUGGUCAAGGUCUUGUUAAGUGUGGGACCAGCAAUGGAGAGUGUAGAACAUCUGCAUAGGUGAUGAGCAACACAAGGACUGGUGACUGUACAAAGCUCAGCCGUCUGUGGAGUGGACAUUAGUGGGGCCCGUGGGGCUUGAUGCGUCAUGUCAGUGCUUACAGCAACCAUUUUGACCGAGGAAGUCCUACAGUAUGCUCAACCCUGUCCUGACUUUCUCGCCUUUCAGGAGGAAGUUCUUGUGCCUAUCAUGUUUCUGGCUGCCAUCCAGUUAGAGGGGUAAACUCCAGAGCUGACACGCUCUCUUGAUCGGAGCGCGAUGACCGGAUAGACGGAAAAUAAAGUGGGCUUGAACUUAUCAAAGUGUUGUUCUGACAGACACCAGGGGACAUGAAAAGACUCCAAAUGAUGUCAACAUGCCAAGUUUUGCUGUUGUCCUUUUUCUCAGAAUGUGAAAGACCAAAUGAGAAAUGAAUGACAGUUCAAAGUCUGCCAAUAUAUAAUGGCAUGAUAAUGCCUGAAUACAUAUGUUAGUCAUUAGGGUAAAGACGAGACAGUACAGUUCAUUUGCUACACUAAAGGGAGACAACUGAGGACUCAAGUUGUCAGAGAUGAGAUGUUCCGACAAACCUGUCACUUCAUGAGCUUCAAAUGCCUGACCUCUUCAAACUUUCCUGAAAAGCUUUCAUGUGUGUCCAAUCUUUGCAUGUCAUUAAAUUUAAAGGAUAUUAAA
Molecule: long non-coding RNA, 936 nt
Organism: Alosa alosa (allis shad)
Lineage: Eukaryota; Metazoa; Chordata; Actinopteri; Clupeiformes; Clupeidae
Exons: 2
Source: RefSeq, a predicted model, not a curated record